GCCGAGGCUGCAGCCGAACCGCAAGCUUGAAGAAUGCCAGCAGGGGGCGUGGCAUGCACGGGUAGGGGGAGCUGCUUCCGGGUGAGCCGCCCCGCCCCCACGUGGGCCGGGGAGACAGACCCGAGCGGGCGGGUGACAAAACUGGAGUAGAGACGGCUAGAGAAGCGGCACGGAGCGGUUAGAGAAGCAGGAGAGCUAAGCACACGGUGGUACCCCAGCAACCUGUCUUCCGGCCAGCAGACUGUCCUGAGCCCCACCAUGCAGCCCCAGUCAGUUCUGCACAGCGGAUACUUCCACCCUCUGCUUCGGACCUGGCAGGCAGCCACUACCACCCUCAGUGCCUCCAACCUCAUCUACCCCAUCUUUGUCACGGAUGUUCCUGAUGACGUCCAGCCGAUCGCCAGCCUGCCAGGAGUAGCCAGGUACGGUGUAAACCGGUUGGAAGAGAUGCUGAGACCCCUGGUAGAAGAUGGGCUGCGUUGUGUCCUCGUCUUUGGGGUCCCCAGCAGAGUUCCCAAGGAUGAGCGGGGCUCUGCAGCUGACUCUGAGGAGUCUCCAGCCAUCGAGGCCAUCCAUGUGUUAAGGAAAACUUUCCCCAGCCUUUUGGUAGCCUGUGACGUCUGCUUGUGCCCCUACACCUCCCAUGGUCACUGUGGACUGUUGGGUGAGAAUGGAUCAUUCCAGGCCGAGGAGAGCCGCCAGCGGCUGGCAGAGGUGGCACUGGCCUAUGCCAAGGCUGGAUGUCAGGUAGUAGCCCCGUCGGACAUGAUGGAUGGACGCGUGGGAGCCAUCAAGGAGGCCCUGAUGGCACAUGGAUUUGGCAACAGGGUAUCAGUGAUGAGCUAUAGCGCCAAAUUUGCUUCCUGUUUCUAUGGGCCUUUCCGGGAUGCAGCUCAGUCAAGCCCAGCUUUUGGAGACCGCCGCUGCUACCAGCUGCCUCCUGGAGCCCGGGGCCUGGCACUCCGUGCAGUGGAUCGGGAUGUGCGGGAAGGAGCCGACAUGCUGAUGGUGAAGCCAGGAAUGCCCUACCUGGACAUCGUGCGGGAGGUGAAGGACAAGCACCGUGAGCUCCCCCUUGCUGUGUACCACGUGUCUGGAGAAUUUGCCAUGCUGUGGCACGGGGCCCAGGCCGGGGCGUUUGAUCUCAAGGCUGCUGUACUGGAGGCCAUGACUGCCUUCCGCAGAGCAGGUGCUGAUAUCAUCAUCACCUACUAUACGCCCCAGCUGCUGCAGUGGCUGAAGGAGGAAUGAUGGAGAGAGGCUGCAGGACCCAAGAACCAGAACCUGAGAAAGUUCCCAAGGCCUUGGUGAAGCAAAAACCAAAUGUGACCUUCUGAACUCUGACAAGAAUCUCACAUCAAGCUGAGCUUCCAGAAUUUUAGGGCUGCUUCUUUGGCAAGCAUCUCUAAAACUUUCUAAAUUCUUCCUACAAGUCAGUUCCAAAGGCUAUGAACCACAUGGGUGGGUAGCAUCAACCCUGUUUCUCUGGUACUAAUACUGUUUUACUGUCUCGCUGGGACAGUGUCCAACACCCACAACUUAAAAGAAAUGUUUAUUUUGGGUUACAGUUUGUAAAGGUUUUAGCCUGUAGCUGGCUUCAAGGCAGCACAACAUGGUAGAGGAGAAACAACUCAUGACUUCAAGAUGGGAAGCAGCAAUCAAGGGAAGAAAGGAGAUAACACCCUUCGGGCCACACCCCUGCUCACACACACAGUGACCUAUGUCCAGCUAGGCUUUAUCUCCCAAUACCACAUUUAGCUAUAAAACCAUCAGUGAACUAAUCCACUGAUGGGUAUCACAUUCCAAUAAUCCAAUCACCUGCAAGAAGCUUCACCUAUAAGCAUAUGAAGUUUUGGGUGACAUCUAGAUACAAACUUUAUAUCUUAUAAAACAGUGGCCUUUAUCAGACCUGUGGGCAACUCACCUUGAGACCUGGUAGCAUCCUGUUCUCAGACUUCUGGGAGAUGACCAGCCAAAAUAGGGUUUGAAGAGGCACAAAACCUCACAACCUAGAGAGCUCAAGCCUAGAUCUACCACCUACGGGCUAAACCAGUAUGUGAAUAUAAGUCAUUUCUGGGCCAGAGAUAAACCAGACCAUAAAUUUCAGCUGCUGUACUUUCUAGCCCUUUUCACUCCUGAGAUUAUUUCUUGCUAAAAUGAUUGAUGUAAACCUGGCUAUGGUGGUGCACACCUGUAAUCCAAGCAUUCAAGAGAGUGAGGCAGGAAGAUUGCUGAGUCUGAGACCAGCCUGAAGUACAUAACAAGACCCUGUCUCAAUCAAAAUGAUCAGUGUAAAAAAAUUUUUUUCUAGGCCAGUGAUGGUGAGCCUAUAGCAUACAUGUUUUUUCUCUUAAGAUAAAGGAUGUUAACGUUUGAGUUAUUUUUGUAAACUAAAACCUCACUAUUCAGGUUUAAUUGAGUGUUGACACUUGUAAUAAGUGGGCUUUGGGUUGUACUUUGGGGCCCUCAUCUCUUAAAAUGUUCACCAUCAAUGUUUUAGGCCAGCCUAGGUCUAUCAUUGCCAAGCAAGUAUAGAUGCUGGCUGUGUUUUAGGCACCCGAGUAGGAGACAAACAGAAACAAAGGAUGCAAACAAAUAUGUCCAUCUACACCUUCCUGAGUCAUCUCAAGAUUGUACUCAAGGUCUAGAUACUUCUAAGCAUAAGAUUAUCUACACCCUCUUGAGUGUGAGUCUUUGGUGAAUUGUGAUCUUUACUAGCCCCACCUACUCACUAUACACGGAAUAAAGAGUGGCUGCUUUGGGAUGGGCGGGGGUCGUCAGAUUGAGAGACAUUGACUUCCCAGCCAUUGGUGGAAUAUUAUCCUUGUCUCUAUUUUUUAUUUUUCUUUUUCGUUUUUUUUUUUAAUCGGUACCAGGGAUCGAACUCACGACUGCCUACUUGCAAGGCAGGCACUUAUGCCUCUGAGCUAAAUCCUCAGCCCCUAUUUUUUAUUUUUUUUUCCACAUUCUUGAGACUGACAAUCAGGGCUCUUUGCUGGGUUCCUGAUACAGAUGAGCACUUUUGGUGGCCAGGACUGAAGUGGUAACGGGGGACAGAAAGAAGGAAACGGAUUUAGAAUGUGUUUGGUAGGUAAUAAAUAGAUGUGAGUGAUGAACUGGG
Molecule: RNA transcript, 3121 nt
Organism: Cavia porcellus (domestic guinea pig)
Lineage: Eukaryota; Metazoa; Chordata; Mammalia; Rodentia; Caviidae
Gene: Alad
Gene name: aminolevulinate dehydratase
Exons: 13
Source: RefSeq, a predicted model, not a curated record